UUCUUUAAACUUAUAAUCUUCUUGUAAGAAGUAGAAACUACUUCCUCUCUAUAAAUUCAAAGGCUUAAAAAAAAACCUCAGAAAGGUGAGAAAUGAUCUACGUGUUUAAGACUAUCCGACCACUAUCUUCAACAACUGUCUCUUUCUUGUCCCCUCGGCGUAGAACGGGCAACAAAGUUACCGGGCUUAGUUUUUUUUGCGACCGCUUCUGACCAGCAAAAGAUGGAUAAGAAGCCUGAAAAUCCAAACGAGGAAACCGGUAUUUGUCUUGUCCACUUUGUAUGUGUAAUAGCGUUUGGAAGUUAUUCUAAUGUUAACCAGCGGGGUUAGCCUAGUGGUACUUGAGGGAGCUUCGGCCCCAAUACGGUCCCGGGUUCAAUUCCCGUUGGCCACCGAGGCUUUCACAUGGGUUCUUCGGCCCGGGCCCGAGGAGAAUACGUGGUCUGAGGUAACUCCUCUAAGCCUACUCCGUGGCUAGUCUGGACCACGUGGGGCCAGGACACUCCUCCUAAAUCUCAAAAAAAAAAGUUAUUCUAAUGUUUUUGCUCCAUUAUCUUUGGAUGAAAAUGGAGCAGGGACGUGAUGUCGCAUUCGUUUGGAGAAGGGUACGCAACGAGGUCUGAUGAAGAAGGGUUUGGAGGAACCUAUGGAGGAAAUCAAACUUUCCAAAAGGACAACAAUGAUAAGGUCCAUGAGAACCACCCUGAUUACGACAAAACUCAAGGUAGCGAAGCCAAGGAGAAGCAGAAAGCUAGGAACCAGACGUAAACGAUUUUCGUUUUACUUUUCUAUUUAAUUUUAUAAUAAAUGAAAUCAAACUUGUACUAUGUAGAUUCUUGCUCAAGCUUUCUAUUGUGUUUUUGGACCCGGUAAUUUUGGUUUUUAUUUUUAUUUUUGUUACCAUCAUCACUGGGUGUAUUUGAAUAUUAGAAAUAAAACGAAUGAUUUUUUAUGGAA
Long non-coding RNA from Brassica napus (rape), 957 nucleotides. RefSeq lists it as uncharacterized. The record is from RefSeq and is a predicted model, not a curated record. The transcript is spliced from 2 exons. NCBI's taxonomy places the organism in Eukaryota, Viridiplantae, Streptophyta, Magnoliopsida, Brassicales, Brassicaceae.